GACGAACGCUGGCGGCGCGCUUAACACAUGCAAGUCGAACGGAAAGGCCUGCUUUCCCUUGUAGAUUGCGGGUACUCGAGUGGCGAACGGGUGAGUAACACGUGAGUGAUCUGCCCCCAACUUGGGUAUAAGCCUGGGAAACUGGGUCUAAUUCCCGAUAGGACUGCAGGGUGGUGCCUGUGGUGGAAAACGAUUUUCUAGUGGUUGGGGAUGAGCUCGCGGCCUAUCAGCUUGUUGGUGGGGUAAUGGCCUACCAAGGCGGCGACGGGUAGCCGGCCUGAGAGGGUGGACGGCCACAUUGGGACUGAGAUACGGCCCAGACUCCUACGGGAGGUAGCAGUGGGGAAUAUUGCACAAUGGGCGGAAGCCUGAUGCAGCGACGCCGCGUGGGGGAUGACGGCCUUCGGGUUGUAAACUCCUUUCGACCGCGAGGAAGCCACCUGGUUGGAAGGGUGGUGACGGUAGUGGUAGAAGAAGCACCGGCUAACUACGU
RNAcentral lists this ribosomal RNA (493 nucleotides) under uncultured bacterium. Its description in RNAcentral is "partial 16S ribosomal RNA". It matches the Rfam family "Bacterial small subunit ribosomal RNA", at positions 28 to 506 of the family's 1533-position model. The record is from RNAcentral.